AUGGCUGGAAACCUGCUGUUGGUCGUCGUCAUGUAUUCCUUUUCUGAGAUGAAAGCACAAGCUCUUCUUGCACCUAAACUGACGGUGAACCAAUCGGUGAUCACAGACACAGACUCAGUCACAUUGAACUGUCAGCCUCCACCAUCUGUUUCUGUGUCUCAGUGUUAUUUCAGCACUGUAAGAGGAGGACCGGCCACACGCUUCUCUUGUCUGCAGACACUGACAGGAACUGAACUGCUCAAGAUGUCAUAUCAAAGUUCACCUGCUGAGGUUGAAGUGAAAUGUUCUUACCUUAAGGUGUUUCAAUCUCCUGAGAGUGAAACAACCUCCAUCACCAUCCGAACAUCUCUUCCACCUAAACUGACAGUGAAUCCACCGGUGAUCAACGAGACAGACUCAGUCACAUUGAACUGUCAGACUCCACCAUCCUUUUCUGUGACUCAGUGUCAUUUCUACAUUUUAAGUGGAGGAACUGUCAGAGACUCCUCUUGUCUGCAGACACUGACAGGAACUGAACUGCUGAAGAUGUCACCUCAGAGUUCACCUGCUGAGGUUGAAGUGAUGUGUUUUUAUACUGUAAAGCUUGGAGAAAAAGAUUCUCCAUCUCCAUACAGUGGCACUUCCCGCAUUACCAUACACAGUCAAACACCACAGAUGACUCUUCAGCAUUUUCAUGGUGAACACGUUCUCUUUACUUGCUCUCUGCCUGGAUCUGCUAAUCAUGAUACGAAAUGUAACCUGUACUUUGGAGAAGAAAGUGAUCCAGUUAAAACAUCAACCAUCUGGAAGAAAAGAAGCUCAACCAAUCAGUGGUUCUGCCAGUUUAUUGUCACAAUUGAUGAUUUGUUGAAACGUCUACGUUUAGUUAAACAAAGUGAUGCCAGCUGUGAUUACAGUUUGGGACGUGAACCCAACUCUUUGUCUCCUCGUAGUGAUCGAUACAACUUGACUGGUAAGUCACAAAAGACAUGA
This 972-nucleotide long non-coding RNA is filed under the name Dicentrarchus labrax (European seabass). Its description in RNAcentral is "lncRNA (ENSDLAG00005026484.1)". The record is from RNAcentral. Lineage: Eukaryota; Metazoa; Chordata; Actinopteri; Moronidae.